RNAcentral lists this long non-coding RNA (525 nucleotides) under Corvus moneduloides (New Caledonian crow). Its description in RNAcentral is "lncRNA (ENSCMUG00000018061.1)". The record is from RNAcentral. Lineage: Eukaryota; Metazoa; Chordata; Aves; Passeriformes; Corvidae.
UGUUAAUGUAGGAAAGAAGAAAGAAAGUAAACUAAAGGUGGAACAGGGAUAGUAGUGGAACCAGGACAGGCAGAAGACUGUAGAUUAUAAAUUUAACACCAUAACAAAGAAUUUGUGCUUCAGCUUUCUUCCCAGAAUAUUUUCAUCUAUCUAUGCUAUACCAAAUUUUGUAAUACAGUUCUUUUCACAAGUGGCCUAAGAGGAUAUCAGAAGGCAGCAGAAGAUUCCACCUGAAAAUGGCAUAAUAUGUGGGUACAUCAGAAGUCUCUAUCAAGAGAAUGGGGCAGAGCUAUUACUGCACAACAUGAUAGACAAAAAAGAAAAAAAAAACCACAACGUGAAGGUUUCCAUAGCAGAGAAGAACUUCUAAUGGGGAACUCCAGCGGGAUAAGAGAUAUGCAAUUCAAAGAUGAAAACUUCAGUGACACAAAAUAUAAUACAGCCCACAGAGAAUGGCACAUUAAUGUAGGAGAAAUCACAGGCAGAAAGUAAAAGUCGUGUCCAUUCUGUACCCUUGGACACAGG